Podarcis lilfordi (Lilford's wall lizard) is the source of this 78-nucleotide non-coding RNA. The record is from the annotation of a GenBank genome assembly. Lineage: Eukaryota; Metazoa; Chordata; Lepidosauria; Squamata; Lacertidae.
GGCUAUAUAGUUCAGUGGCAGAGUGUCUGCUUUGCAUGCCGAAGGUCCCUGAUUCAAUCCCCGGCAUCUCUAGGGCUG